CCUACGGGAGACAGCAGUGAGGAAUAUUGGUCAAUGGUCGGGAGACUGAACCAGCCAAGCCGCGUGAGGGAUGAAGGUACAGAGUAUCGUAAACCUCUUUUGUCAGGGAACAAAGGCGGGGACGCGUCCCCGGAUGAGUGUACCUGAAGAAAAAGCAUCGGCUAACUCCGUGCCAGCAGCCGCGGUAAUACGGAGGAUGCGAGCGUUAUCCGGAUUUAUGGGGUUGAAAGGGUGCGCAGGCGGUCUGUUAAGUCAGCGGUCAAAGCCCGGGGCUCAACCCCGGCCCGCCGUUGAAACUGGCAGUCUCGAGUUGGAGAGAAGUAGGCGGAAUGCGCGGUGUAGCGGUGAAAUGCAUAGAUAUCGCGCAGAACUCCGAUUGCGAAGGCAGCAUGCCGGCUCCACACUGACGCUGAGGCACGAAAGCGUGGGUAUCGAACAGGAUUAGAUACCCUUGUAGUC
Molecule: ribosomal RNA, 459 nt
Filed under: uncultured bacterium
Lineage: Bacteria
Description: partial 16S ribosomal RNA
Rfam family: Bacterial small subunit ribosomal RNA
Source: RNAcentral